GUGCACAUUUCAUUGAUCCACUUACUUCUGUUUGUGUGAGCAGUUUAUUUCUUUAUGUGCUAUAUAAACAGAUGAAGGUUAAUUAACAGUAUAGCCAAGUAGUUAUGUUACCAGUCUCUUUCAGACAGUU
This is a small nucleolar RNA of Erinaceus europaeus (western European hedgehog), 130 nucleotides long. The record is from Ensembl. NCBI's taxonomy places the organism in Eukaryota, Metazoa, Chordata, Mammalia, Eulipotyphla, Erinaceidae.